Long non-coding RNA from Vigna radiata var. radiata (mung bean), 698 nucleotides. RefSeq lists it as uncharacterized. Lineage: Eukaryota; Viridiplantae; Streptophyta; Magnoliopsida; Fabales; Fabaceae. The transcript has 4 exons. The record is from RefSeq and is a predicted model, not a curated record.
UGUAACAUUUUGAAUUCACAUUUCAUUUUUCAGAUUUCAGAUUUUGAACCAAACCCUAGAGAGAGAAAGUCUCCCUCCCUCCCAACCAUCAAAGCUCCGUGACGUUGCCACACCGUCGUUUGCCGCCAUUUAACUGGCACCGGAGGUAAUACUGUUCACCGCAACCGUUCCACCGUUAGUUGCUUAUGAAGCCAGAAAACGCCAUUGGAGGAUCUUUAUCAUGAGUUGAAAGAACUCGUUCCAGAGUAUCAGAUAAUUAUAAAUGAAAAUGAUGAUAAGUAACGAAGCCUCAAGCAGGAAUGAGAAGAUGAGAUAUAUUCAGCUGUUGUAACAGUCUUGAUAGAGAUAAAUGAAUACAAUCCAAGUAUGCAGAGCUAUGGAACUUCAAGCAUAAAAGAAAGGCUACAUUGAAAGAAGUUAUCACUUAUAUUGUGGAACGUAUGAAGCCAGCAGCUAAGCGCAAGAGAGGAUAGUCAAAAGGGAGUACAAAUGCAAAUAUAUCAAAGGUUUGAAUGAAAUUUGAAGCAAGCUUCUCACAUAACUUUGGCCUUAAUGAAUGUCUUUGCAGGGAGUAUAAAUGCAAAUAUAUCAAAGGGUUGAUUGAAAUUUGAAACAAGCUUCUCACAUAAUCGUUCGUUAAAUAUGAUAACUUUUCAUCAAUGAUGGAUUUGAACAUAUGUAAUUUGACAGACAAAGUU